UCCUACAGCUAUAUCACCCUGAUUGUGUCCAGUCUUGUCUGAUCUUGGAAGCUAAGCAGGAUUGAGCCUGGUUAGUGCUUGAAUGGGAGACCACCUUGGCAAACCAGGUGCUGUAGACU
This 119-nucleotide ribosomal RNA is filed under the name Propithecus coquereli (Coquerel's sifaka). Lineage: Eukaryota; Metazoa; Chordata; Mammalia; Primates; Indriidae. The record is from RNAcentral.